This 717-nucleotide non-coding RNA is filed under the name Microbacterium sp. SUBG005. RNAcentral describes it as "bacterial LSU rRNA". It matches the Rfam family "Bacterial large subunit ribosomal RNA", at positions 400 to 1113 of the family's 2925-position model. Lineage: Bacteria; Bacillati; Actinomycetota; Actinomycetes; Micrococcales; Microbacteriaceae. The record is from RNAcentral.
AGUGGAUCCUGAGUACGGCGGGACACGUGAAAUCCCGUCGGAAGCUGGGAGGACCAUCUCCCAAGGCUAAAUACUACCUAGUGACCGAUAGUGAACCAGUACCGUGAGGGAAAGGUGAAAAGCACCCCGGGAGGGGAGUGAAAUAGAACCUGAAACCGUGUGCCUACAAGUAGUCAGAGCCCGUUAACKGGGUGAUGGCGUGCCUUUUUGUAGAAUGAACCGGCGAGUUACGAUYSCAUGCRAGGUUAAGUYGAAWRAGACGGAGCCGCAGCGAAAGCGAGUCUGAACAGGGCGAAUGAGUAUGUGGUCGUAGACCCGAAACCAGGUGAUCUACCCCAUGUCCAGGWUGAAGUYCAGGUAACACUGAAUGGAGGACCGAACCCACGCACGUUGAAAAGUGCGGGGAUGAGGUGUGGGUAGCGGAGAAAUUCCAAUCGAACUUGGAGAUAGCUGGUUCUCUCCGAAAUAGCUUUAGGGCUAGCCUCACGAAUAACGAGUCUUGGAGGUAGAGCACUGUUUGGACUAGGGGSCCUCAUCGGGUUACCGAAUUCAGACAAACUCCGAAUGCCAAGUACUCAAGCGUGGGAGUCAGACUGCGAGUGAUAAGAUCCGUAGUCAAAAGGGAAACAGCCCAGACCACCAGCUAAGGUCCCAAAGUAUACGUUAAGUGGAAAAGGAUGUGGAGUUGCUUAGACAACCAGGAUGUUGGCUUAGAAG